Molecule: ribosomal RNA, 497 nt
Filed under: uncultured bacterium
Lineage: Bacteria
Description: partial 16S ribosomal RNA
Rfam family: Bacterial small subunit ribosomal RNA
Source: RNAcentral
GACGAACGCUGGCGGCGUGCCUAAUACAUGCGAGUAGAACGCUGAAGCGAGGAGCUUGCUCUUCUUGGAUGAGUUGCGAACGGGUGAGUAACGCGUAGGUAACCUGCCUUGUAGCGGGGGAUAACUAUUGGAAACGAUAGCUAAUACCGCAUAACAAUGGAUGACACAUGUCAUUUAUUUGAAAGGGGCAAUUGCUCCACUACAAGAUGGACCUGCGUUGUAUUAGCUAGUAGGUGAGGGAACGGCUCACCUAGGCGACGAUACAUAGCCGACCUGAGAGGGUGAUCGGCCACACUGGGACUGAGACACGGCCCAGACUCCUACGGGAGGCAGCAGUAGGGAAUCUUCGGCAAUGGGGGCAACCCUGACCGAGCAACGCCGCGUGCGUGAAGAAGGGUGUCGGAUCGUAAAGCUCUGUUGUAAGUCAAGAACGAGUGUGAGAGUGGAAAGUUCACACUGUGACGGUAGCUUACCAGAAAGGGACGGCUAACUACGUG